UUACCAGAGUACUAUGAAUGUUUAAAAAUUUAAAACUCAAAGAACUUGGCGGUGUUUUAGACCACCCAGGGGAACCUGUCUCGUAAUCGAUAAUCCACGUUGUACCUGACCUCUUUUUGUUUUCAGUUUGUAUACCGUUGUCGUCAGGUAACUUUUUAGAAACUAGAAGUUAGCAAUUAAAAUGUUGGUAAUUUAGUAUGUCAAAUCAAGGUGCAGCUAAUAAAGAGGGGAGGAUGGGUUACAAUUAUAUAAUUCAUAAUGACGGAUAAGUAUAUGGAUAUGUGUUAAGUUAUAAGGAGGACUUGGAAGUAAAUUAGGAUAUAUAAAUAAUUUGAAUUAGGCUCUGAGACGUGU
Molecule: ribosomal RNA, 354 nt
Filed under: Myurella amoena
Lineage: Eukaryota; Metazoa; Mollusca; Gastropoda; Neogastropoda; Terebridae
Description: partial 12S ribosomal RNA
Source: RNAcentral